RNAcentral lists this ribosomal RNA (180 nucleotides) under uncultured Staphylococcus sp. RNAcentral describes it as "partial 16S ribosomal RNA". It matches the Rfam family "Bacterial small subunit ribosomal RNA", at positions 160 to 334 of the family's 1533-position model. The record is from RNAcentral. Lineage: Bacteria; Bacillati; Bacillota; Bacilli; Caryophanales; Staphylococcaceae.
GAGCUAAUACCGGAUAACAUGUUGAACCGCAUGGUUCAACAGUGAAAGACGGUCUUGCUGUCACUUAUAGAUGGAUCCGCGCCGCAUUAGCUAGUUGGUAAGGUAACGGCUUACCAAGGCAACGAUGCGUAGCCGACCUGAGAGGGUGAUCGGCCACACUGGAACUGAGACACGGUCCAG